Mytilus californianus (California mussel) is the source of this 1017-nucleotide long non-coding RNA. RefSeq lists it as uncharacterized. Lineage: Eukaryota; Metazoa; Mollusca; Bivalvia; Mytilida; Mytilidae. The transcript is spliced from 2 exons. The record is from RefSeq and is a predicted model, not a curated record.
ACAUUUGAUUUUUACAUCAUGAAUAUUUUUAAUUAAAAUUAAAAAAAAAGAUAUACACCCCCUUUAGUUUCAUUCAUGGGCUCUGUUAGUUCACACUUUGAGGAUGACCAUUUGGUGUUCUGAAAAGGGGGAGGUGGGAAUGUAAUAAUAAUUUUAUUAUUCAAUAUUGAAUUACAUUGUGUGCCUUCACAAUCAAGAAAGAUGUUUACAGUUUACUACACAAUGUCAGGCACAUUCAACUUAAUUUUGUCAUGUUCUGAUUUGGAUGGACAUGCAACACAAAAAAUCCCUAAAGGUUAAUAUUGUGUUUUAGAGUCUUUAUACUUAACUGAAAGAAGCUUCUUAAUUAUAUAUGUACAUUGUAUGAUAAAUAUCAGUAAUAUAUGAUGCAUACAGGUCAUGACCAGAUUUAAAAAUUAUUAAUAAAAUGUUUUUACAUUUUUUUUUAGGUUGUCCAUAUAUUAAAAGGGAUUGAUCAUGGUGAAGGUACAAAGCUGCAAAAAUGAUGACUGUGCAUCGAUCAAUAUCCACUCAAUAAUAUGAAAACAAACGAACCAGCAGCAGAAAAGAAAUUUGAGUAUAAGAUUAUUGAAAGAUUAAUCAAUGAAGACUUAAUGGAACAGGAUUGGAAUGCAGAAACUUUGGACUUAAUUCAUGAAUAAUAUCAAUGGAUGAAGAAAACUGACCAAACUGACAAAGUAUUUCGUAUGCAUGUAAACUGGACAUUUUUGUUUGUUUAAUGCACAAUAAACAAAUUUGUAAAAUUUAAAAUUAAAACUAUUUGUGAAAGAUUUCAAGAGGACCAAAUGUUACCAUGGACUUAUGAAUGAUUUAACCAGAAAAAUGAUUUACAUGUACAAUUAAGUAAAUACAUCUUUGACUAAAAAAUGAUAAUUUAUCAACGUUAAUAUUUUAAAGAGGUUGAUCUUUUCGUUUAAAAGGUCUUAAAUGUGGAUGAUGUAUAAACUGUUGUAAUUUCUUUAAUUGUUGACUUGCAUUAAAAUGGUUAUUGUCUUA